CCUCUCUCCCUCUCCCUCUCCCUCUCCCUCUCUCUCUCUCUCUCCCUCUCUUCGGAAACUGUUCAACGCGCCUGUGUUGUCGUACGAACAACCUACAAUAUUGUGGUGUUAGCACUGCUGUCGGUCGGUCGCAGGUUUGAGUCGGUCUCAUAGUAAGGGUGAUAUCGUCGUCGCUGUCCUUAGCUAGGAGUGUGGAGUGUGAACUUCUUCUGCUUUUGGAUUAGGAAAAGGAUUACUUCGGUGUUCAGGCACGGAAUAAAAAUCUUCGGCGCUGGCACUUGGCGACACGAGGCUAAUUCACCUAGCUACUUCCGAUACCUUGCAAACGACGCCUUGCUGAGAGCUUUGCACAAAUCCCAGAUCUACGCAUAAAAAGGAGCCACUAUUUUUUCUCUCUCUCUCUCUCUCUCUCUCGCUUCAGCGCAUCUGACCAAGCGUCAAUCCAACAAACAGACCCCCACAAAGUGCGCGAGGGGAGCUUCCGAUACAAUAAUUUUGGUUGCCUUCCCACAGUGCAUUCGUCUUCUGUGAAUACCAGGUAUUCUUCCGGUUGGACAAAAGCUGCCACUUUGGAUUGCAAGCCUGUGCAGUGUUGUGCCCAGCAAGCUCUUUGCUCGUCCUGCGAGACAGGGUAUACCGGCACCCCAGGUCGACAACAAUUUGGUGUCGUUUUUCCUUUUCUGAGACACGGAGAUCGAGACCAUAGCAUCGCCCACCCCCGCUGGAGUGAGAUCGUUUUCGUAGCACUUCAUCUCUCAGAUGUUUUUCUUUUCGUUUCUUUGUGGACAGAAAAGCCGUUCGUCUUUUGAUCAUUUUUCAGACA
Aplysia californica (California sea hare) is the source of this 823-nucleotide long non-coding RNA. RefSeq lists it as uncharacterized. The record is from RefSeq and is a predicted model, not a curated record. The transcript is spliced from 2 exons. NCBI's taxonomy places the organism in Eukaryota, Metazoa, Mollusca, Gastropoda, Aplysiida, Aplysiidae.